UUCGAAUAGGGAAUCAGGCAGCAAAAGGAGUGCGUAACAGGGAUCACAUUUGUUUGUGAUUAGCUUGAUUGAAGAGAAGUUACACAGUAUCGACGUCAACGACAAUGCUAUGCCAAAAGUUCUUCUACCGGGCAAUGUCGGCAAAUUGGUGAAAGGGUUGGCUUCAAACUGAAAUUGAGAGGGGUUGGACGUCGCAGUACCCAACAUCAGAAGGGCAGAGGCGGGAUACGACGCUUCUGGGCUGUCGUGAACCCUGGCUGGAGCCACCGGUGUACUUGGCAGAGAGUGCUUUUCAUCUCCGUAAAUGGACCGGCGGAUCAAUUUCUAUGAUAUUUCGUACGAGGCUUGCUCCAACCAAAUAUGACGCCAAUCGCGACAGUGUAGCAGAAAUUAUCGCGAAAUGGUGUGGUGGCUUAUAUCGUGGCAUAUAAAGGACCGUUUAUCACGACGAAAUUGUUACGUAGACGAGUAGCGAUUUGCAGCAGGGCGGAGAGGCAGAUGGCUAGACACAGAGACUAACUUUCCUCUGCACACUUGCGGCCGUGAAGAAGGGGGCUGCUGCUUUUGUCGCGCUGCACAGACGCGUGGAAAAGAAGAGAGUGGGAUUUGCGACAGUAUUGUCGUGGUUCGCGUUGUCCUGCGCCCUGUCGUCGUUGCCAUUCGGAUAACAAACGUCACGGUUUGAGGGGUCUCGCUUUUCCAGCCGGUGGACAGCCUCUUUAAAGAGUAAUUACGCCUACACUUGGUAUAUCCUGCGCCCCGUAAUAGAUAUUCUUCAUCGUUUUUUCAGGCACACACGUGUUUCUUCGGUAUUGCCUCGCCACCGCGGUAGCCACUUAAAGCCACAUACGCAUCGAAUGCACAAACUACGAUGGAACUGGCAUUCUUCAGACGAAACACAACGAACGACCCAGGAGUUCAUACGACUUCGAUGGCAUUUUCAUCCGGCGGUUCUCCACAUCUCAGCAAAUAGAAGUAUUAAUAACCACGAAGAACAAUCUGACUACGAUCGCCGGGAUUUGGAACGCGGACGUUCGUAACCUAAGGCGCUAACCACUGCGCUACCGUUGUCCGGUGUUAGUGUCGAGUGGUGAUAUUUGUGCUGUCGAGUGCCGCCACAAAUUGAACGCGAGGAAAAAACGAAAUGAGAGAAAGCAUAGAGUGGAAUAGGGAAGCUGAGGGAAGAGAAGCGAGGUCCUAAUUACCACCGAAACACGCGCGUACACGCACGUGUAUUCCGCGGGCUGGUCUGUGCGCCGGUACACCCACGAUCUCGAGCCGCGUGUGAAGCGAAAAAAAGGAAAUUACACGUACGAGCCGGCGGGGGUGGUGAGCAGAGCCUUGCUGCCCUGUGAUAUUCAUGUUUCCAGAUUAUUUAUGACUCGUGGAACGAGUGGCCGCACGCGUACAACGGCGCUACGAAACGCAACCCGUGCACCUAACACGUACAUUAUACGAGGAAAGAAAAGAGCAAGCCGCGGGGCUGCCAGUCGGUCGACUCGGGGGUGGAGUGGAAAAAAAUAGAAACAGCCCCGCACUUGGCGCAGCGUCUACUCGCGCGGGGCACAGGGGCGGUACUCGCGUUCUCGUGCUCUCACCGCUUAACGCCACCUCGCGCCUUGCCCGUCCGAUUAAACGAGGCCCCGCCGCCGCCUCCUCACGACUCUUUGUACGCUGUUCGACGACGUUCAUCAACGCCGUGCGUGUAAAUACGUACACGAGGUUGAUCGCGAUGGUGAGAGUAACAUAAUGCUUGGCAGAUAGAACAGCAGGUAUGAGGGGAGGUGUGGCAUCAGCACGCGUUACAGGCAUAAUUCAUCCGGGGCAACGGCGCAGCGCGCGCGACCGUUCUCGCGGAGGACAUACACGUGUACGAAUACACGUUUUAUGGUCCGAUUCCGAUAAGGACGAACGUUCACGAACCACGAUCCGCUCGCGCGUGCGACUACGAGCACGCUGCGUGCCCGUCAUUCUACGCUGCCGGUACUGUCCGACCAAUCGAUGUUUAAUGAACAUGACGAAUGCGUGCCUACCCGCUAACGAUCGUGCUCUUGAGGCAGGCCGGUUUUGCGCGACUAUCGAUCCCGACCGGUCUUUGGCGUAGCUCUCUGUUUCUUGGAAUCCGCACGGAUUCUCCUUGGCAUUCCGUUAUUGGGUCAAUGCGGCGACAGAUCUUCUUGAAGGACAGAGUCGCCGGCUUUUGUAGAAGACGACGUAGAAUGUAUCGUGUAUUCGAAGCGAAGGAUUUAGGAUAAAAAAUUUAAAGACCCGCGCUAUCGUUCAAUAGGAAGAGGAAUCGAGCUGAUUUUAUGAAUUUGAAGAAUUUGGACGAUUAUAACGAAAUAUACAGGAUGAGUCGCAAGACACGGGAUACUUAAAUGUCUAAUAUAUUUUUGAGUUUUUCUUGACAUUCGCUUCUCGAAUUCUAUAUAGUUAAGAAUACAAGUGUAUUUUGGAAAACACCUAAGAAUAAUCCCGAAUAAAAAUUCGUUCACUCGA
Molecule: long non-coding RNA, 2499 nt
Organism: Bombus terrestris (buff-tailed bumblebee)
Lineage: Eukaryota; Metazoa; Arthropoda; Insecta; Hymenoptera; Apidae
Exons: 4
Source: RefSeq, a predicted model, not a curated record